Molecule: ribosomal RNA, 271 nt
Filed under: uncultured archaeon
Lineage: Archaea
Description: partial 16S ribosomal RNA
Rfam family: Bacterial small subunit ribosomal RNA
Source: RNAcentral
CGAAGCUGAUGGAUCACACCGCGUGCAGGAUGAAGGCUUCGGGUCGUAAACUGCUUUACUAGUGACGAAUAUGACGGUAACUAGAGAAUAAGGAUCGGCUAACUACGUGCCAGCAGCCGCGGUCAUACGUAGGAUCCAAGCAUUAUCCGGAAUUACUGGGCGUAAAGAGUUGCGUCAGGUGGCAUUAGCAAGCAGAACAUGAAAUACGUGUGGCUCAACUAUACGGCUAUGUUCUGAACUGCAAAGCUAGAGAACAAGAGGGGUAGAUGGA